GCACUCAUUCCCAAUUUCCGCCUCUGUUCCGCUCAAAAAAAAAAAAGAAAGAGAAAACCGCAGAUCUCCUCCAGUCCUCCUUCCCGAGCCGGCGGCUCCUCUCCUCCUUCCCGAGCCGGCGAUCCUCCGACGACCUUACUCUGCUCCCGCCGUCAGACCCGUGACCCGUCCUUCAGGCUUCACCCCAUCAGACUACAGUACACUAUGACGGGAGAUGACAAAAACCGAGUAAGGAUUAGAAAACAAAACUCUGGAGCUCAUAAUAGAAGAGUCAAGCAACGUCAAGAUGAAAUGGCAAAAUCACUACUUGAGUAUGAUGACUUAAUUGAAGAAUUCGCUUCAAAAAAUUCAAGGAGAAGUAUUUUUCUUUGAUGGGAAUUGUAGCACAAAUGUAAUCUCUUCUUAUAUGAAUAUUGAUUUUGCAUUAGUAUUAUCAGUUUGAGCCCAAUAUAGAACGUUAAAUUGUAUUA
Long non-coding RNA from Asparagus officinalis (garden asparagus), 470 nucleotides. RefSeq lists it as uncharacterized. NCBI's taxonomy places the organism in Eukaryota, Viridiplantae, Streptophyta, Magnoliopsida, Asparagales, Asparagaceae. The transcript is spliced from 2 exons. The record is from RefSeq and is a predicted model, not a curated record.